Molecule: ribosomal RNA, 745 nt
Filed under: uncultured bacterium
Lineage: Bacteria
Description: bacterial SSU rRNA
Rfam family: Bacterial small subunit ribosomal RNA
Source: RNAcentral
AGAGUUUGAUCCUGGCUCAGCCUGAACGCUGGCGGCGUGGCUAAGACAUGCAAGUCGUACGGUGCAGCAAUGCACAGUGGCGAACGGGUGAGUAAUGAAUCGCUAACGUACCCCGGACUCUGGGAUAGCUACCCGAAAGGGUAGGUAAUACCAAAUGACACCCUCCUUCCGCAUGGUGGGAGGUUCAAAGGUCCGCCGGUCUGGGAGCGGGCGAUUUCGUAUCAGCUAGUUGGUGGGGUAACGGCCCACCAAGGCGACGACGCGUAGCCGGACUGAGAGGUUGGCCGGCCACAUUGGGACUGAGACACUGCCCAGACUCCUACGGGGGGCUGCAGUAACGAAUCUUCCGCAAUGCACGAAAGUGUGACGGAGCGACGCCGCGUGUGGGACGAAGCCCUUCGGGGUGUAAACCACUGUCAGGGGUAGGAAAGUUCUGAUCCACCCCAGAGGAAGGCACGGCUAACUCUGUGCCAGCAGCCGCGGUAAGACAGAGGUGCCGAGCGUUAGGCGGAAUCACUGGGCUUAAAGCGUGUGUAGGCGGAUCGUUAAGUACCUUGUGAAAUCCCACGGCUCAACCGUGGAACUGCUGGGUAUACUGGCGAUCUUGAGCCACUUAGGGGCUGUCGGAACAGACGGUGGAGCGGUGAAAUGCGUAGAUAUCGUCUGGAACGCCAACGGUGAAAACAGACAGCUGGGAGUGCGCUGACGCUGAGACACGAAAGCCAGGGGAGCGAACGGCAUUAGA